UUAAGCGACUAAGCGUACACGGUGGAUGCCCUGGCAGUCAGAGGCGAUGAAGGACGUGCUAAUCUGCGAUAAGCGUCGGUAAGGUGAUAUGAACCGUUAUAACCGGCGAUUUCCGAAUGGGGAAACCCAGUGUGUUUCGACACACUAUCAUUAACUGAAUCCAUAGGUUAAUGAGGCGAACCGGGGGAACUGAAACAUCUAAGUACCCCGAGGAAAAGAAAUCAACCGAGAUUCCCCCAGUAGCGGCGAGCGAACGGGGAGCAGCCCAGAGCCUGAAUCAGUGUGUGUGUUAGUGGAAGCGUCUGGAAAGGCGCGCGAUACAGGGUGACAGCCCCGUACACAAAAUGCACAUGCUGUGAGCUCGAUGAGUAGGGCGGGACACGUGGUAUCCUGUCUGAAUAUGGGGGACCAUCCUCCAAGGCUAAAUACUCCUGACUGACCGAUAGUGAACCAGUACCGUGAGGGAAAGGCGAAAAGAACCCCGGCGAGGGGAGUGAAAAAGAACCUGAAACCGUGUACGUACAAGCAGUGGGAGCACGCUUAGGCGUGUGACUGCGUACCUUUUGUAUAAUGGGUCAGCGACUUAUAUUCUGUAGCAAGGUUAACCGAAUAGGGGAGCCGAAGGGAAACCGAGUCUUAACUGGGCGUUAAGUUGCAGGGUAUAGACCCGAAACCCGGUGAUCUAGCCAUGGGCAGGUUGAAGGUUGGGUAACACUAACUGGAGGACCGAACCGACUAAUGUUGAAAAAUUAACGGAUGACUUGUGGCUGGGGGUGAAAGGCCAAUCAAACCGGGAGAUAGCUGGUUCUCCCCGAAAGCUAUUUAGGUAGCGCCUCGUGAAUUCAUCUCCGGGGGUAGAGCACUGUUUCGGCAAGGGGGUCAUCCCGACUUACCAACCCGAUGCAAACUGCGAAUACCGGAGAAUGUUAUCACGGGAGACACACGGCGGGUGCUAACGUCCGUCGUGAAGAGGGAAACAACCCAGACCGCCAGCUAAGGUCCCAAAGUCAUGGUUAAGUGGGAAACGAUGUGGGAAGGCCCAGACAGCCAGGAUGUUGGCUUAGAAGCAGCCAUCAUUUAAAGAAAGCGUAAUAGCUCACUGGUCGAGUCGGCCUGCGCGGAAGAUGUAACGGGGCUAAACCAUGCACCGAAGCUGCGGCAGCGACGCUGAUGCGUUGUUGGGUAGGGGAGCGUUCUGUAAGCCUGCGAAGGUGUGCUGUGAGGCAUGCUGGAGGUAUCAGAAGUGCGAAUGCUGACAUAAGUAACGAUAAAGCGGGUGAAAAGCCCGCUCGCCGGAAGACCAAGGGUUCCUGUCCAACGUUAAUCGGGGCAGGGUGAGUCGACCCCUAAGGCGAGGCCGAAAGGCGUAGUCGAUGGGAAACAGGUUAAUAUUCCUGUACUUGGUGUUACUGCGAAGGGGGGACGGAGAAGGCUAUGUUGGCCGGGCGACGGUUGUCCCGGUUUAAGCGUGUAGGCUGGUUUUCCAGGCAAAUCCGGAAAAUCAAGGCUGAGGCGUGAUGACGAGGCACUACGGUGCUGAAGCAACAAAUGCCCUGCUUCCAGGAAAAGCCUCUAAGCAUCAGGUAACAUCAAAUCGUACCCCAAACCGACACAGGUGGUCAGGUAGAGAAUACCAAGGCGCUUGAGAGAACUCGGGUGAAGGAACUAGGCAAAAUGGUGCCGUAACUUCGGGAGAAGGCACGCUGAUAUGUAGGUGAAGUCCCUUGCGGAUGGAGCUGAAAUCAGUCGAAGAUACCAGCUGGCUGCAACUGUUUAUUAAAAACACAGCACUGUGCAAACACGAAAGUGGACGUAUACGGUGUGACGCCUGCCCGGUGCCGGAAGGUUAAUUGAUGGGGUCAGCGCAAGCGAAGCUCUUGAUCGAAGCCCCGGUAAACGGCGGCCGUAACUAUAACGGUCCUAAGGUAGCGAAAUUCCUUGUCGGGUAAGUUCCGACCUGCACGAAUGGCGUAAUGAUGGCCAGGCUGUCUCCACCCGAGACUCAGUGAAAUUGAACUCGCUGUGAAGAUGCAGUGUACCCGCGGCAAGACGGAAAGACCCCGUGAACCUUUACUAUAGCUUGACACUGAACAUUGAGCCUUGAUGUGUAGGAUAGGUGGGAGGCUUAGAAGUGUGGACGCCAGUCUGCAUGGAGCCGACCUUGAAAUACCACCCUUUAAUGUUUGAUGUUCUAACGUUGACCCGUAAUCCGGGUUGCGGACAGUGUCUGGUGGGUAGUUUGACUGGGGCGGUCUCCUCCUAAAGAGUAACGGAGGAGCACGAAGGUUGGCUAAUCCUGGUCGGACAUCAGGAGGUUAGUGCAAUGGCAUAAGCCAGCUUGACUGCGAGCGUGACGGCGCGAGCAGGUGCGAAAGCAGGUCAUAGUGAUCCGGUGGUUCUGAAUGGAAGGGCCAUCGCUCAACGGAUAAAAGGUACUCCGGGGAUAACAGGCUGAUACCGCCCAAGAGUUCAUAUCGACGGCGGUGUUUGGCACCUCGAUGUCGGCUCAUCACAUCCUGGGGCUGAAGUAGGUCCCAAGGGUAUGGCUGUUCGCCAUUUAAAGUGGUACGCGAGCUGGGUUUAGAACGUCGUGAGACAGUUCGGUCCCUAUCUGCCGUGGGCGCUGGAGAACUGAGGGGGGCUGCUCCUAGUACGAGAGGACCGGAGUGGACGCAUCACUGGUGUUCGGGUUGUCAUGCCAAUGGCACUGCCCGGUAGCUAAAUGCGGAAGAGAUAAGUGCUGAAAGCAUCUAAGCACGAAACUUGCCCCGAGAUGAGUUCUCCCUGACCCUUUAAGGGUCCUGAAGGAACGUUGAAGACGACGACGUUGAUAGGCCGGGUGUGUAAGCGCAGCGAUGCGUUGAGCUAACCGGUACUAAUGAACCGUGAGGCUUAACCUU
Molecule: ribosomal RNA, 2900 nt
Filed under: Escherichia coli
Lineage: Bacteria; Pseudomonadati; Pseudomonadota; Gammaproteobacteria; Enterobacterales; Enterobacteriaceae
Description: bacterial LSU rRNA
Rfam family: Bacterial large subunit ribosomal RNA
Source: RNAcentral